GAUGAAGAACGUAGCAAAAUGAGAUACUUGGUGUGAAUUGCAGAAUCCCGUGAACCAUCGAGUCUUUGAACGCAAGUUGCGCCCGAAGCCAUUAGGCCGAGGGCACGCCUGCCUGGGCGUCACACGUCGUUGCCCCCCCCCAUCUACUCCUUCGGGAUUGCGGGGGGCGGAUGAUGGCCUCCCGUGCGCCUCGCCGCGCGGUUGGCAUAAAUGCCAAGUCCUCGGCGACGCACGCCACGACAAUCGGUGGUUGCGAAACCUCGGUUGCCCGUCGUGUGCGGUCGUCGCGCAUCGAGGGCUCGAAAAAAUUGCCGAGUUCCGGCUCGGCUUUCAACGCGACCCCAGGUCAGGCGGGGUUACCCGCUGAAUUUAAGCAUAUCAAUAAGCGGAGGA
RNAcentral lists this unclassified non-coding RNA (393 nucleotides) under soil metagenome. RNAcentral describes it as "partial contains 5.8S ribosomal RNA, internal transcribed spacer 2, and large subunit ribosomal RNA". The stretch from base 1 to 122 matches the Rfam family "5.8S ribosomal RNA", at positions 35 to 154 of the family's 154-position model. The record is from RNAcentral.